This 1194-nucleotide unclassified non-coding RNA is filed under the name Hevea brasiliensis (rubber tree). Lineage: Eukaryota; Viridiplantae; Streptophyta; Magnoliopsida; Malpighiales; Euphorbiaceae. The record is from RNAcentral.
AUUGAAACCACAACAGCCACAGCCCCUUUCGCAUUUCCUAGAACCUGUAAAGUCAGAGCACUUGUGUGUUUUGUGACCAAAAAGUUGGUCAAAUUUACAAAAUAUGCUAGCGCCGAGUUGAAUAGCAGGUACCAGACAAUCUUGAUAUCGUCUCUAGCAAGAGCCAGUGUAAUCCCAACCACAUUAUCUUCCAUAAUAAGAGUUGCAGGAAGUAAAAAGACAACAGCUAUAGGUGCCAUGUACAGAAGGAGGUUCAUUGAAUUCAGCUUCUCCCCCUCAGAAGAAAGCAAAAUCCCUUGCAGCACUGAUUUGAGUGCCCUUGCAGCUGUNNNNNUUAUAAACCCAAAUAGAUGAAAACUCGGUUCACCCCCACUGGCAAUAAUUACUCCAGUAACGACAGGGAUCAAGGUGACAUAAGUAAGCCAAGCCUCCCUCUUAAGGGUCAUCAAAUAAGCGAAAACCGCAGUGAAAAACGGUGUCGUAGCACCAACCGCUUGAUUGAAAGAGACUGGGAGAAACCUCAAGGAAAUGUUACCAAACACGACCGACACACAAAAGACGAGACUCAAGGCGGAGAUNNNNNNNNGCGCGAGCGAAUUGUCUGCAUAGGGACCAUCUUCAUCCAAACAAUGGCGACAUAGCUAAGCAAACUACAAGCGGUCAUAUGACACAUGGUCAAGAAGAUCGGGUACUUGAACCCGUAAUUGCUUAGCAAAUACUUGUUCAGUAACAAAACCCCGAUAUUUGAGGAAUACCAGGAGCUCACUAGACCGAUCGUGAACAACCGGGAAGUGGUCUUCAUGGUGGAUAUUAAGCCGGGGGAUCUACCGUUUUCUGAUCGGAAGGCGGGGAUUUAGGGAGGUGGGGAGAGAUUAGGAGAGGUAAGGCGAACUGGGUUGCUACGGAUCUGCAAACAGAGAGGAAUUAACAGAGAAUAAAGGGUCUCCCAUGGAUCUGUGACAUAGAUAACGAAAUUUGAAACACAGAGAAUGGAAAAUUUGGAGGGAAAGGGAAGGAAUGUGAGCUUCUCUGCAAAUACAGAGAGGAAAGAAAAUGGAGGAGCCGAGGAGGAUGAAGAAGAAGAAGGAAGGAAAACGCGUGAUGAAGGGACUGAUUUUGGGGCUUUUUUAAAAAAUUUUUGUUUUAAUUUCAAACAAUUUUUGAGUUUGUGAUUUUGUUUUUCCGUUUUCUCUC